GAGACUCUGUGCGCGUGCAUAUCAAUAAGCGGAGGAAAAGAAACUAACAAGGAUUCCCUAGUAACGGCGAGUGAAGCGGGAAGAGCUCAAAUUUGAAAUCUACAAGGUUCUACCUUGACGAAUUGUAGUUUAUAGAAGUGUUUUCUGUUAGUGGAGUGGCAAAAGUUCUUUGGAAUAGGACAUCAUAGAGGGUGAGAAUCCCGUAUUUGGUCAUUCCUCCUAGCGUUGUGAUACACUUUCAACGAGUCGGAUUGUUUGGGAAUGCAGUCCAAAAUGGGUGGUAAAUUUCAUCUAAAGCUAAAUAUUGGCGAGAGACCGAUAGCGAACAAGUACCGUGAGGGAAAGAUGAAAAGAACUUUGAAAAGAGAGUUAAACAGUACGUGAAAUUGUCAAAAGGGAAGCGUUUGACACCAGUGUUGUUUAGUUGAAAAUCAAUUCAAUAGUUUUUGAUUCUAAGUAGUAUUGACUUCAUCAGCUUGCUGCUUUCUUCUCAGAAAUUAUUGAAUGCACUUCUCAGUUAACAAGUCAACAUCAAUUUCUUUUGUUGUAAAAGGGUAAGAGGAAGGUGGCUUGUGCUUCGGCUCAAGUGUUUAUAGCCUUGUAUCCUCUGCAAUCGGAGAGAUUGAGGUCUGCAGCGUAGAUCCUUCGGGGUUAGAUACAUUUGUGCUAAGUUAUAGCUUUUUCAUAGACAACUUGUUGACUAUAUUUAGUCUUGUAGCUUACUCGCUUAUGCUAUUUUACCUACGCUUAGGAUGUUGAUCUGUAGUGCGUGCGC
RNAcentral lists this ribosomal RNA (775 nucleotides) under uncultured Neocallimastigales. RNAcentral describes it as "partial large subunit ribosomal RNA". It matches the Rfam family "Eukaryotic large subunit ribosomal RNA", at positions 23 to 646 of the family's 3401-position model. Lineage: Eukaryota; Fungi; Neocallimastigomycota; Neocallimastigomycetes; Neocallimastigales. The record is from RNAcentral.